Molecule: ribosomal RNA, 199 nt
Filed under: uncultured bacterium
Lineage: Bacteria
Description: partial 16S ribosomal RNA
Rfam family: Bacterial small subunit ribosomal RNA
Source: RNAcentral
ACGCUCGACACCUACGGGAGGGCAGCAGUGGGGAAUAUUGCACAAUGGGGGAAACCCUGAUGCAGCGACGCCGCGUGAAGGAUGAAGUAUUUCGGUAUGUAAACUUCUAUCAGCAGGGAAGAAAGUGACGGUACCUGACUAAGAAGCCCCGGCUAACUACGUGCAAGCAGCCGCGGUAAUCUGAGCGGGCUGGCAAGGC